AAAUUGAAGAGUUUGAUCAUGGCUCAGAUUGAACGCUGGCGGCAGGCCUAACACAUGCAAGUCGAACGGUAACAGGAAGCAGCUUGCUGCUUUGCUGACGAGUGGCGGACGGGUGAGUAAUGUCUGGGAAACUGCCUGAUGGAGGGGGAUAACUACUGGAAACGGUAGCUAAUACCGCAUAACGUCGCAAGACCAAAGAGGGGGACCUUCGGGCCUCUUGCCAUCGGAUGUGCCCAGAUGGGAUUAGCUAGUAGGUGGGGUAACGGCUCACCUAGGCGACGAUCCCUAGCUGGUCUGAGAGGAUGACCAGCCACACUGGAACUGAGACACGGUCCAGACUCCUACGGGAGGCAGCAGUGGGGAAUAUUGCACAAUGGGCGCAAGCCUGAUGCAGCCAUGCCGCGUGUAUGAAGAAGGCCUUCGGGUUGUAAAGUACUUUCAGCGGGGAGGAAGGCGAUAAGGUUAAUAACCUUGUCGAUUGACGUUACCCGCAGAAGAAGCACCGGCUAACUCCGUGCCAGCAGCCGCGGUAAUACGGAGGGUGCAAGCGUUAAUCGGAAUUACUGGGCGUAAAGCGCACGCAGGCGGUCUGUCAAGUCGGAUGUGAAAUCCCCGGGCUCAACCUGGGAACUGCAUUCGAAACUGGCAGGCUAGAGUCUUGUAGAGGGGGGUAGAAUUCCAGGUGUAGCGGUGAAAUGCGUAGAGAUCUGGAGGAAUACCGGUGGCGAAGGCGGCCCCCUGGACAAAGACUGACGCUCAGGUGCGAAAGCGUGGGGAGCAAACAGGAUUAGAUACCCUGGUAGUCCACGCCGUAAACGAUGUCGACUUGGAGGUUGUGCCCUUGAGGCGUGGCUUCCGGAGCUAACGCGUUAAGUCGACCGCCUGGGGAGUACGGCCGCAAGGUUAAAACUCAAAUGAAUUGACGGGGGCCCGCACAAGCGGUGGAGCAUGUGGUUUAAUUCGAUGCAACGCGAAGAACCUUACCUACUCUUGACAUCCAGAGAACUUUCCAGAGAUGGAUUGGUGCCUUCGGGAACUCUGAGACAGGUGCUGCAUGGCUGUCGUCAGCUCGUGUUGUGAAAUGUUGGGUUAAGUCCCGCAACGAGCGCAACCCUUAUCCUUUGUUGCCAGCGGU
Molecule: ribosomal RNA, 1135 nt
Filed under: Enterobacter hormaechei
Lineage: Bacteria; Pseudomonadati; Pseudomonadota; Gammaproteobacteria; Enterobacterales; Enterobacteriaceae
Description: partial 16S ribosomal RNA
Rfam family: Bacterial small subunit ribosomal RNA
Source: RNAcentral